Molecule: ribosomal RNA, 474 nt
Filed under: uncultured bacterium
Lineage: Bacteria
Description: bacterial SSU rRNA
Rfam family: Bacterial small subunit ribosomal RNA
Source: RNAcentral
UGGGGAAUCUUGCACAAUGGGCGAAAGCCUGAUGCAGCAACGCCGCGUGCGGGAAGACAGCCCUAGGGUUGUAAACCGCUUUCAGCAGGGAAGAAACUGACGGUACCUGCAGAAGAAGAUGCGGCCAACUACGUGCCAGCAGCCGCGGUGACACGUAGGCAUCAAGCGUUAUCCGGAUUUAUUGGGCGUAAAGAGCUCGUAGGCGGUUCGGUAAGUCGGGUGUGAAAACUCUGGGCUCAACCCAGAGAGGCCACUCGAUACUGCUGUGACUAGAGUGCGGUAGGGGAGCGGGGAAUUCCUGGUGUAGCGGUGAAAUGCGCAGAUAUCAGGAGGAACACCAGUGGCGAAGGCGCCGCUCUGGGCCGUAACUGACGCUGAGGAGCGAAAGCAUGGGUAGCAAACAGGAUUAGAUACCCUGGUAGUCCACACCGUAAACGAUGAAUGCCAGUCGUCGGGUAGCAUGCUAUUCGGUGA